GACGGACGGUGCAAGCGUUGCUCGGAAUCACUGGGCGUAAAGGGUGCGUAGGCGGCCGUGCAAGUCUGGCGUGAAAGCCCCGGGCUCAGCCCGGGAAGUGCGCUCGAAACUGCGCGGCUCGAGUGCCGGAGGGGAGAGUGGAAUUCCUGGUGUAGCGGUGAAAUGCGUAGAUAUCAGGAGGAAUACCGGUGGCGAAAGCGAGUCCCUGGACAUUUCCUGACACUGAGGCACGAAAGCUAGGGGAGCAAACAGG
RNAcentral lists this ribosomal RNA (253 nucleotides) under uncultured bacterium. Its description in RNAcentral is "partial 16S ribosomal RNA". It matches the Rfam family "Bacterial small subunit ribosomal RNA", at positions 524 to 776 of the family's 1533-position model. The record is from RNAcentral.